AAAAAAGGUAAGCUACUAAGAGCGAAUGGUGGAUGCCUUGACUGGUAAAGGCGAUGAAGGACGUACUAGACUGCGAUAAGCUACGGGGAGCUGUCAAGAAGCUUUGAUCCGUAGAUUUCCGAAUGGGGCAACCCAAUGUAUAGAGAUAUACAUUACCUAUAUAGGAGCGAACGAGGGGAAUUGAAACAUCUUAGUACCCUCAGGAAAAGAAAUCAAUAGAGAUUGCGUCAGUAGCGGCGAGCGAAAGCGCAAGAGGGCAAACCCAGUGCUUGCACUGGGGGUUGUAGGACUGUAAUGUGCAAGAGGUAAGUUUAGCAGAACAUUCUGGAAAGUAUAACCAUAGAGGGUGAUAGUCCCGUAUGCGAAAAACAAACCUUAGCUAGCAGUAUCCUGAGUAGGGCGGGACACGAGGAAUCCUGUCUGAAUCCGGGUCGACCACGAUCCAACCCUAAAUACUAAUACCAGAUCGAUAGUGCACAAGUACCGUGAGGGAAAGGUGAAAAGAACUGAGGUGAUCAGAGUGAAAUAGAACCUGAAACCAUUUGCUUACAAUCAUUCAGAGCCUUAUGUAGCAAUACAGGGUGAUGGACUGCCUUUUGCAUAAUGAGCCUGCGAGUUGUGGUGUCUGGCAAGGUUAAGCAAACGCGAAGCCGUAGCGAAAGCGAGUCUGAAUAGGGCGCUUAGUCAGAUGCUGCAGACCCGAAACGAAGUGAUCUAUCCAUGAGCAAGUUGAAGCUAGUGUAAGAACUAGUGGAGGACUGAACCCAUAGGCGUUGAAAAGCCCCGGGAUGACUUGUGGAUAGGGGUGAAAGGCCAAUCAAACUUCGUGAUAGCUGGUUCUCUCCGAAAUAUAUUUAGGUAUAGCGUUGUGUCGUAAUAUAAGGGGGUAGAGCACUGAAUGGGCUAGGGCAUACACCAAUGUACCAAACCCUAUCAAACUCCGAAUACCUUAUAUGUAAUCACAGCAGUCAGGCGGCGAGUGAUAAAAUCCGUCGUCAAGAGGGAAACAACCCAGACUACCAGCUAAGGUCCCUAAAUCUUACUUAAGUGGAAAACGAUGUGAAGUUACUUAAACAACCAGGAGGUUGGCUUAGAAGCAGCCAUCCUUUAAAGAAAGCGUAAUAGCUCACUGGUCUAGUGAUUUUGCGCGGAAAAUAUAACGGGGCUAAAGU
This 1172-nucleotide ribosomal RNA is filed under the name Campylobacter jejuni. Its description in RNAcentral is "partial 23S ribosomal RNA". It matches the Rfam family "Bacterial large subunit ribosomal RNA", at positions 1 to 1188 of the family's 2925-position model. Lineage: Bacteria; Pseudomonadati; Campylobacterota; Epsilonproteobacteria; Campylobacterales; Campylobacteraceae. The record is from RNAcentral.